GAUUCUGGCUCAGGAUGAACGCUGGCGGCGUGCUUAACACAUGCAAGUCGAACGAAGCAACUAUCUUGCUUGCAAGAGAGUUGACUUAGUGGCGGACGGGUGAGUAACGCGUGGGUAACCUGCCUCAUACAGGGGGAUAACAGUUGGAAACGACUGCUAAGACCGCAUAACCCGCUAGUGUCGCAUGACACGGACGGAAAAUAUUUAUAGGUAUGAGAUGGGCCCGCGUCUGAUUAGCUAGUUGGUAAGGUAACGGCUUACCAAGGCGACGAUCAGUAGCCGACUUGAGAGAGUGAUCGGCCACAUUGGGACUGAGACACGGCCCAAACUCCUACGGGAGGCAGCAGUGGGGGAUAUUGGACAAUGGGGGAAACCCUGAUCCAGCGAACCGCCGCGUGAGUGAAGAAGUAUUUCGGUAUGUAAAGCUCUAUCAGCAGGGAAGAUAAUGACAGUACCUGACUAAGAAGCCCCGGCUAACUACGUGCCAGCAGCCGC
This 495-nucleotide ribosomal RNA is filed under the name uncultured bacterium. RNAcentral's name for it is "bacterial SSU rRNA". It matches the Rfam family "Bacterial small subunit ribosomal RNA", at positions 15 to 518 of the family's 1533-position model. The record is from RNAcentral.